GAUGAACGCUGGCGGCGUGCCUAAUACAUGCAAGUCGAGCGAACAGACGAGGAGCUUGCUCCUCUGACGUUAGCGGCGGACGGGUGAGUAACACGUGGAUAACCUACCUAUAAGACUGGGAUAACUUCGGGAAACCGGAGCUAAUACCGGAUAAUAUAUUGAACCGCAUGGUUCAAUAGUGAAAGACGGUUUUGCUGUCACUUAUAGAUGGAUCCGCGCCGCAUUAGCUGGUUGGUAAGGUAACGGCUUACCAAGGCGACGAUGCGUAGCCGACCGGAGAGGGGGAUAGGCCACACUGGAACUGAGACACGGUCCAGACUCCUACGGGAGGCAGCAGUAGGGAAUCUUCCGCAAUGGGCGAAAGCCUGACGGAGCAACGCCGCGUGAGUGAUGAAGGUCUUCGGAUCGUAAAACUCUGUUAUUAGGGAAGAACAAAUGUGUAAGUAACUAUGCACGUCUUGACGGUACCUAAUCAGAAAGCCACGGCUAACUACGUG
RNAcentral lists this ribosomal RNA (497 nucleotides) under uncultured bacterium. RNAcentral describes it as "partial 16S ribosomal RNA". It matches the Rfam family "Bacterial small subunit ribosomal RNA", at positions 28 to 507 of the family's 1533-position model. The record is from RNAcentral.